RNAcentral lists this ribosomal RNA (459 nucleotides) under uncultured bacterium. RNAcentral's name for it is "partial 16S ribosomal RNA". It matches the Rfam family "Bacterial small subunit ribosomal RNA", at positions 338 to 795 of the family's 1533-position model. The record is from RNAcentral.
CCUACGGGUGGCAGCAGUGAGGAAUAUUGGUCAAUGGGCGCGAGCCUGACCCAGCCAAGUAGCGUGAAGGAUGACUGCCCUACGGGUUGUAACCUCCUUUUAUAAAGGAAUAAAGUGAGGCACGUGUGCCUUUUUGUAUGUACUUUAUGAAUAAGGAUCGGCAAACUCCGUGCCAGCAGCCGCGGUAAUAUGGAGGAUGCGAGGGUUUUCCGGAUUUAUUGGGUUUAAAGGGUGCGCGGGGGGAGGAACAGGUCAGCGGUAAAAUCCCGGGGCUAAACGCCGAUGCGCCGUUGAAACUGUGUCCCUUGAGUGCGGGAAGGGUAGGCGGAAUGCGUGGUGUAGCGGUGAAAUGCAUAGAUAUCACGCAGAACUCCGAUGGCGAAGGCAGCCGACCGGCGCGCAACUGACGGUGAUGCACGAAAGCGUGGGUAUCGAACAGGAUUAGAUACCCGAGUAGUC